UGCAGUCGACGAACUCCUUCGGAGUUAGUGGCGGACGGGUGAGUAACACGUGGGAACGUGCCUUUAGGUUCGGAAUAACUCAGGGAAACUUGAGCUAAUACCGGAUGUGCCCUUCGGGGGAAAGAUUUAUCGCCUUUAGAGCGGCCCGCGUCUGAUUAGCUAGUUGGUGAGGUAAAGGCUCACCAAGGCGACGAUCAGUAGCUGGUCUGAGAGGAUGAUCAGCCACAUUGGGACUGAGACACGGCCCAAACUCCUACGGGAGGCAGCAGUGGGGAAUCUUGCGCAAUGGGCGAAAGCCUGACGCAGCCAUGCCGCGUGAAUGAUGAAGGUCUUAGGAUUGUAAAAUUCUUUCACCGGGGACGAUAAUGACGGUACCCGGAGAAGAAGCCCCGGCUAACUUCGUGCCAGCAGCCGCGGUAAUACGAAGGGGGCUAGCGUUGCUCGGAAUUACUGGGCGUAAAGGGAGCGUAGGCGGACAUUUAAGUCAGGGGUGAAAUCCCGGGGCUCAACCUCGGAAUUGCCUUUGAUACUGGGUGUCUUGAGUAUGAGAGAGGUGUGUGGAACUCCGAGUGUAGAGGUGAAAUUCGUAGAUAUUCGGAAGAACACCAGUGGCGAAGGCGACACACUGGCUCAUUACUGACGCUGAGGCUCGAAAGCGUGGGGAGCAAACAGGAUUAGAUACCCUGGUAGUCCACGCCGUAAACGAUGAUUGCUAGUUGUCGGGAUGCAUGCAUUUCGGUGACGCAGCUAACGCAUUAAGCAAUCCGCCUGGGGGAGUACGGUCGCAAGAUUAAAACUCAAAGGAAUUGACCGGGGGCCCGCCACAAGCGGUGGAAGCCAUGGUGGCUUUAAUUCCGAAGCAAC
RNAcentral lists this ribosomal RNA (864 nucleotides) under Brevundimonas vesicularis. Its description in RNAcentral is "bacterial SSU rRNA". It matches the Rfam family "Bacterial small subunit ribosomal RNA", at positions 56 to 960 of the family's 1533-position model. The record is from RNAcentral. Lineage: Bacteria; Pseudomonadati; Pseudomonadota; Alphaproteobacteria; Caulobacterales; Caulobacteraceae.